GACUGUAGGUGAAAGCUUACAUCUCUUCGGAGCAUUUUACGAGGUGCUGCAUGGUUGUCGUCAGCUCGGUGCCGUGAGGUGUCGGGUUAAGUCCCAUAACCGAGCGCAACCCUACCUUUAGUUGCCAUCAGGUAAUGCUGGGGACUCUAAAGGAACUGCCUAACGCAAGUAGUGAGGAAGGCGGGGAUGACGUCAAAUCAGCACGGCCCUUACGUCCAGGGCUACACACGUGCUACAAUGGCCGAUACAGAGGGCAGCUACCUGGUGACAGGAUGCAAAUCUCCAAAGUCGGUCUCAGUUCGGAUCGGAGUCUGCAACCCGACUCCGUGAAGUUGGAUUCGCUAGUAAUCGCGCAUCAGCCAUGGCGCGGUGAAUACGUUCCCGGGCCUU
RNAcentral lists this ribosomal RNA (390 nucleotides) under uncultured Sphingobacteriales bacterium. Its description in RNAcentral is "bacterial SSU rRNA". It matches the Rfam family "Bacterial small subunit ribosomal RNA", at positions 993 to 1382 of the family's 1533-position model. Lineage: Bacteria; Pseudomonadati; Bacteroidota; Sphingobacteriia; Sphingobacteriales. The record is from RNAcentral.